RNAcentral lists this long non-coding RNA (1404 nucleotides) under Oryctolagus cuniculus (rabbit). Its description in RNAcentral is "lncRNA (ENSOCUG00000030091.1)". The record is from RNAcentral. Lineage: Eukaryota; Metazoa; Chordata; Mammalia; Lagomorpha; Leporidae.
UUUGUAACAGACUUGAUCUAAUAUAUGAAAAAUUUUACAUGGGGGAUAUUUAAGGUGCAUUCAAUUAGAAGAAUUCAUCCUCCAAUCCAACUUUCUUUAGGGAAACAAAAAACCUAAAAACAAUAACAACAACAAAAAAACACUGAGCUGCCAGGUUCUUGGUAAAUUUUUUUCAAGAGUGUUAAAUGCAAACAUCUUUGCUUGAUAUUCAUCUUUGGCAAUGACAAUUUCAUCACAUAGACAACAUGAAUAAAAGAUAUUAUUCUCAGUCAUUAGCAACUCAGUCAGGGAAAAGAGAAAAAUUGGACAUUUAAGAAUGCUUUACUUUUCUGUCAUUUCAGACUAAAUGCCACUCUUAAAUGAUGGCUAGUCAAACCUACAGAAUCUAUUAGUAACUUGAAAACAAGUGCGAAGGGAUGCCAAAACCCCAAGGAAUCUUAAACUUGCAUUUGUCAGGCUUGUCACAUCAUUGCUACUGGUAAUAAAAGCAUUUUUGUUUUAUGUUGCAAUGUCUAUGGAGAAUAAUAUUUUCAUGGUCCAGAGUAAAAAGUGAUAUUGCAGCAUUCAUCACCUAUUUUGAAAUAAAAUAGCCUAAAAAGGUGGAAAAUUGACAUUCAUUAUUUUAGGGCUAAUUUAAAAAGCUGAUGCAUUUAUGGACAUUUUCCUGGUUGCUCUUUAUAAAGUUCAAGUGUUCAGUAGUCAUUCAAUUUUCAGAAGCAUGUCCUUACAUGGUUUUCAUGAAUUUUGUUGAGUUCUCAGAAGUAAAUGCUUGGUUUUAAUGAUGGUAGUGAUACCCAACCAAAUUUACCCGUGUACUUAUUUUCCUAUAAUCACUCCACUGCUGGUUCUGUCACAUUCAAAGACCAACUAAAGAAAGAAUUGUCAUUUUUCAAGUUCUCUAAGAUUUACCCAGAGUCCAAACUUCCACUCCUUUCUUUCUUUCUUUUUCUCUCUUCCAGGUCUCAGAAGCACUGAUCUGAUGAAAGAAAACUCAAUUUGGGAGUCCAAAAAGAGAGCAGACUCUAAGGGUUUCAGUGUGAUGCUGUCCCAUCUUGGUGAGUGCAGAGCUCUACAUCUGGAAAAACAAACCUCAGUGUCUCUGAAAAGGGACAAACACAUCUAUGGGUUGCAUGUACUCCUAGGAUGUAGAGGAACUGAAGACAAAACAACACUGCUCCUAAAGGACUUUGGAGGAGCUACGUGGGCUGGAUGGAUCAGGCUCAGCAUCUGUUGUUAAGCUUCAGUGAAAAUGGCUGCUUGAGCUGGAGUGCUCAAAAGGCUCGUUGAAGUCCUGAGUAGCCCUGUCCAGGGUGGCUUGCUCACUUGGGCAGUGUGUUGGUGUUGGCGACCAUCUGAAAGGCUCGAUUAUUCUUCACCUGGUCUUUCUGUAACGCUCUUUAAGUG